CGGGUGAGUAAUACAUAAGUAACCUGCCCUAGACAGGGGGAUAACUAUUGGAAACGAUAGCUAAGACCGCAUAGGUACGGACACUGCAUGGUGACCGUAUUAAAAGUGCCUCAAAGCACUGGUAGAGGAUGGACUUAUGGCGCAUUAGCUGGUUGGCGGGGGUAACGGCCCACCAAGGCGACGAUGCGUAGCCGACCUGAGAGGGUGACCGGCCACACUGGGACUGAGACACGGCCCAGACUCCUACGGGAGGCAGCAUG
RNAcentral lists this ribosomal RNA (260 nucleotides) under uncultured bacterium. RNAcentral's name for it is "partial 16S ribosomal RNA". It matches the Rfam family "Bacterial small subunit ribosomal RNA", at positions 103 to 353 of the family's 1533-position model. The record is from RNAcentral.